Molecule: ribosomal RNA, 585 nt
Filed under: uncultured bacterium
Lineage: Bacteria
Description: partial 16S ribosomal RNA
Rfam family: Bacterial small subunit ribosomal RNA
Source: RNAcentral
UGGGGAAUUUUGGACAAUGGGCGAAAGCCUGAUCCAGCAAUGCCGCGUGUGUGAAGAAGGCCUUCGGGUUGUAAAGCACUUUUGUCCGGAAAGAAAUCCUUGGCUCUAAUACAGUCGGGGGAUGACGGUACCGGAAGAAUAAGCACCGGCUAACUACGUGCCAGCAGCCGCGGUAAUACGUAGGGUGCAAGCGUUAAUCGGAGUUACUGGGCGUAAAGCGUGCGCAGGCGGUUUGCUAAGACCGAUGUGAAAUCCCCGGGCUCAACCUGGGAACUGCAUUGGUGACUGGCAGGCUAGAGUAUGGCAGAGGGGGGUAGAAUUCCACGUGUAGCAGUGAAAUGCGUAGAGAUGUGGAGGAAUACCGAUGGCGAAGGCAGCCCCCUGGGCCAAUACUGACGCUCAUGCACGAAAGCGUGGGGAGCAAACAGGAUUAGAUACCCUGGUAGUCCACGCCCUAAACGAUGUCAACUAGUUGUUGGGGAUUCAUUUCCUUAGUAACGUAGCUAACGCGUGAAGUUGACCGCCUGGGGAGUACGGUCGCAAGAUUAAAACUUAAAUGAAUUGACGGGGUCAUAGCUGUUUCCU